CAGCCCCUGCAGGAAACAGGGACAGCCGGGGUCGAGCCGAGCCCAGCCGAGCCCAGCCGAGCCCAGCCGAUUAUGGCCGGGGCGGGCCGAGGCGGACUCACUGCGCCUCAUCGGGACGGGACCUCUCUAGUCGCAGUUGCACCUGCCAAGCUAUGAGACGCACUUUUAACAGCGGAGGGACAUGUCGCCUGUAUGUGCGCGUGUUUAGCCUGCCUGGGUCCCGGAGCAGAAGAGGAGCGCCUCUUUCCCCCCCCCCACCCCCCAGUAACAUUCUGGGCAAUUCAGCGGCUGCAGAUUCUGUGUGGCCCUGGUCGUCGGUGAGUUACGGCUUCACUGUAACUUCAUGAAUGCUGCAGACGCCUAUGAGCUUCAAAUUUGCAGGCAGGAUUGGUAUGACGCACUACUGGCAAAGAGAACAAAGAGAAGACUAAAGCAGAGAGGCUGUGACGUGACUACAGUCAAAACAUGUUGGACCAAACGGAAAAAGACCUGAAGUUUAAAACCAGCACAGAGGCAGCACGGACAGACGGAGUGGGGCGGCAGGGAGGAUGACAUCACUGUCACCCGUGGGAGCCAGGGCCUGUCAUUCAUGCCAGCGGGGAUCAAAUGGCAGCGAGGAGGAGGCUGUGAGUACCCAACCAUGGUUCCGAACAAAGUCGGUACACAUCAUUAUGCACUCACAACAUUAUGUAUGAUGUUUGUGAUGUCUGAAAUAACACCGUGCUUCAGUAUGUGGCUGACAACACUCGCUAUGAAUUCCGCCUAAUGCAGGCGUAGCUGUCAUGUGCUGUCAGCCCCGUUUCUCGUGAUGUGCGUUCUGUUUGAAUUCCUCUCCGGUGCUGGAGGCAAAUGUUCCCCGUCCCAGCUGUCCGUGCUGCUGCUGCUGCUGCUGCUGCUGCUGCCACGGCAACCACAUUCAUGCGUGAGACAGACUUCCUCGCAAUGAGAAGCGCCGUCACGUUUCUCCUUCCUCUGACAGAGUUAAGUUUGGUAUUGCCAAACCUUCCUUCCUCCACAGCGCUGCGGAGGAAGGUCUGGCUAGUCCACACAGCAUUGUGGGAUUUGGAGAAAAACGUGCU
Molecule: long non-coding RNA, 1079 nt
Organism: Perca fluviatilis (European perch)
Lineage: Eukaryota; Metazoa; Chordata; Actinopteri; Perciformes; Percidae
Exons: 6
Source: RefSeq, a predicted model, not a curated record